UACGAAGGGUGCAAGCGUUACUCGGAAUUACUGGGCGUAAAGCGUGCGUAGGCGGUUUGUUAAGUCCGUUGUGAAAGCCCUGGGCUCAACCUGGGAAUGGCAAUGGAUACUGGCAGGCUAGAGUGCGGUAGAGGGUAGUGGAAUUCCCAGUGUAGCGGUGAAAUGCGUAGAUACUGGGAGGAACACCAGUGGCGAAGGCGGCUACCUGGACCGGUUCUGACGCUGAGGCGCGAAAGCGUGGGUAGCAAACAGG
This 253-nucleotide ribosomal RNA is filed under the name uncultured bacterium. RNAcentral describes it as "partial 16S ribosomal RNA". It matches the Rfam family "Bacterial small subunit ribosomal RNA", at positions 524 to 776 of the family's 1533-position model. The record is from RNAcentral.